This is a long non-coding RNA of Vidua macroura (Pin-tailed whydah), 786 nucleotides long. RefSeq lists it as uncharacterized. The record is from RefSeq and is a predicted model, not a curated record. Lineage: Eukaryota; Metazoa; Chordata; Aves; Passeriformes; Viduidae. The transcript has 4 exons.
GGAUCGCGGCCGCCCCGCCGGCCCUGCAGGCCAAAAACAAGUCUGCAAGAGCCGGAUGGGAACAAAAAGACACGAAACUGAACCCGCAAAUGGUGUUUAAGUUAAGGGCUGGGGGAGGCAGAGCCUCCACACCACGUUAAAUGGGAGUGCUCCGGGCUGCCGAGCGGGAAAGGCCACAGGCCUUAAAUGCUGCUCACAAGAGGCUGGCAAGCAAUAAAUAUUUUCAUACCCUCGUGUGAGGAGAGACUGCGGGAGCUGGGCCUGAUGGGACCUCACGUAAAUCAGGCAGGAGAGAUGUUAUCAAAAUGGAAUAAUUUCCCACCAGAACUCAUACUGAAACCUUAACUAAUAUUGAAAAGUCUGUGCUCUGCCAUGUCUUCAAAUCCAUGGAAUUUGGAAUUCCAGAAAUUCCGUUUCCCAUCCCGUAACAUUUUGUCUGCCUUUGUAUCCUUUGAUGGCUGCAGAGUGCAUUCUAUGAACUCUGGAGAGAGCCAAGGAGACACUCACGUGAUUUUGAAUUAGUUUGAAGUUCUCCAUUUGGUCCCUAAAGAAAAGCAGAACUCUCAUUUCUCCUGACAUUGCACCAAAAUUAAAGGAAGCUUAUACAAUGUCUAAACUUCAGCUGUGCUUCAAUCCUGAGUCUAUUCAGAACUCUUUUUUUUUACCAUUGUUUUAUUUUUUAAAACCUUACUCAGAGCUGUUCCAACCUGCUGUUAUUUGCCACUUCUUUAACAACUGGAUGACAAUCACCACUGCUGCCUUCUGAGGAAGGACCCAGGUAGCAGA